GAACGGGUGAGUAAUAUAUCGGAACGUGCCCUAGAGUGGGGGAUAACGUAGCGAAAGUUACGCUAAUACCGCAUACGAUCUAAGGAUGAAAGUGGGGGAUCGCAAGACCUCAUGCUCGUGGAGCGGCCGAUAUCUGAUUAGCUAGUUGGUGGGGUAAAAGCUCACCAAGGCGACGAUCAGUAGCUGGUCUGAGAGGACGACCAGCCACACUGGAACUGAGACACGGUCCAGACUCCUACGGGAGGCAGCAGUGGGGAAUUUUGGACAAUGGGGGCAACCCUGAUCCAGCAAUGCCGCGUGAGUGAAGAAGGCCUUCGGGUUGUAAAGCUCUUUUGUCAGGGAAGAAACGGUGUUUUCUAAUAAAGAGCACUAAUGACGGUACCUGAAGAAUAAGCACCGGCUAACUACGUGCCAGCAGCCGCGGUAAUACGUAGGGUGCAAGCGUUAAUCGGAAUUACUGGGCGUAAAGCGUGCGCAGGCGGUUAUGUAAGUCAGCUGUGAAAUCCCCGGGCUUAACCUGGGAAUGGCAGUUGAGACUGCAUGGCUAGAGUGUGUCAGAGGGGGGUAGAAUUCCACGUGUAGCAGGUGAAAUGCGUAGAGAUGUGGAGGAAUACCGAUGG
This 620-nucleotide ribosomal RNA is filed under the name uncultured bacterium. RNAcentral describes it as "bacterial SSU rRNA". It matches the Rfam family "Bacterial small subunit ribosomal RNA", at positions 100 to 715 of the family's 1533-position model. The record is from RNAcentral.